Molecule: ribosomal RNA, 253 nt
Filed under: uncultured bacterium
Lineage: Bacteria
Description: partial 16S ribosomal RNA
Rfam family: Bacterial small subunit ribosomal RNA
Source: RNAcentral
GACGGAGGGGGCUAGCGUUGUUCGGAAUUACUGGGCGUAAAGCGUGCGCAGGCGGCUAUGCAAGACAGAUGUGAAAUCCCCGGGCUUAACCUGGGAAUUGCGCUUGAAACUAGCGGGCUUGAGUGUGGCAGAGGGGGGUGGAAUUCCACGUGUAGCAGUGAAAUGCGUAGAGAUGUGGAGGAACACCGAUGGCGAAGGCAGCCCCCUGGGUCAACACUGACGCUCAUGCACGAAAGCGUGGGGAGCAAACAGG